Molecule: long non-coding RNA, 3012 nt
Filed under: Homo sapiens (human)
Lineage: Eukaryota; Metazoa; Chordata; Mammalia; Primates; Hominidae
Description: HSALNT0351875
Source: RNAcentral
AAAAAAAAAAAAAAAAAAAUUCUGUGGCACCCUCCUGGAGACGGGUCUGUUUUUAGCUUCCACACCAUUAAUAGUUUAAUCUCUUAAGUCACAAGUAAGGAAAGGGAGUCACAUACGACAGCAAAAGCCCGCAGUUCCCAGCAAAAGCCAGAGGCAAAUGAGAACCCACGAAGAACCCAGAGUUCACACCACAACCUGUGCGCUGGUCGGGGUGACCCAUGCUGGACCUCCACAGAACAUGGGGCCAUUCAGCUAACUCAGUAAACACUUGCUGAGCAUCUGACCUGAGCCAGGUCCUGUGCUGACAUCUAGGACUUUCUACCCUUAAGGAGCUGUGGCUUUUUCUCUAGUUGGUGAGACAGAUGGAAACCCCUUCAGUUCCACUACAGAUAUUUUUGAAAUACCUGUUAUGUGCCAGGCACUUUCUGAACUCGAGGUACCGCAGUGAACCAGACAGGUGUUAUCUAUGCCCUCCUGGGGCUUCUAAGCCUUCAGAGAAGAUAGACACUGUACAGGUGAGUUAAGUGCUCCAAAGAGUAUGGCUCCUGGUGUGUAAGGGUUCAAAUAUCUGUUGAUAGAAAGGAUAAAGGCCAUGUCAUCUUUAUUCUUUCUCACAGGGCCCAGCAUGGGGCCUAACACAGUUAGACUUAAGUAAAUGGAUUCAACUCACUGGUCCCCAGCACUGUCCUCUGCAUGAUGUUACCGAAAUGGAGACAACCAAAACUAACUGGACAACUUAGUCAGCUGGACUGGAAGACUGCACUUCCAAAUGGAAAGAACCUGUCCAGCUUGGCCGUGGACCCUAGGAGGAUGAGGGACACGUACAGCAGAGAUGCCCACCAGCUUGCCAACCCCUGAGUGAGCCCAGCCAAGGUCAAAAAAUACAGAAAAGAAAGAAUCUACCACAGAUACCCUUUUAUUAGAUCAGAAGAGAGAAAGCUUGUAGACGCCUCGUGAACUCACCCCUUCCACUGCGAAGUGCCAGACCCUGGGCUGGACACCGUGGGAGAGGCCAGCUGGGCAAGUCUGUCCUUCGGGGAGGUCUGGGGUGUUUGGGGAAGGGAGAUAGGGACACACAAUCCUCACAACAACUGCAAAAAGAAGUGUGAGCACGUGGGGGCAGAGGGAGCGUCAGUCAGACGGGAGGUGAUCGGGACUGGAGAGAGAUGUCCCAGAGGAGGUGGCUUGGGCAGGUGGGCUUUGACUGGCGUCUAUGGGAGAGGAGCCCGUAGGAAGAAGAGAGAGCAGGACAGCUGGGAUUGAGUUGGGCUGAAGCCGGACCGGGGAGGGUGUGGCAAGAGAUGAGGCUGAACCGGUGGGCUGGAGGAGGGGGUCCCAGGAAAAGCAGCUCUGGUCCCACCGUCAGCCCUGCCUUUUAUUAUUAAUCUCUCUUGUGAAUUCAGGUGGGAAAAGGCCUGCUGAGAGUAGUGCCAGAAUUCACAGGAGAAAGAUUCUGUAAUUUCUUUGAGCUCUGUGACUCUGGACAAAGUAUUCAGUAUUAAUGCAGUUGACCAUGACGUCUUCUGUGUGCGCGACUGACAGACCAAAUUACCUUUCCUUAUCUCCUGGCGAGAAAAAAGGACCAUUUUCUUGACAUAUUUCAUAAUCAUUUCACCUGCUUGCCCCCUAUGGAGAGCGCCGGUGACCCGGCCCCCUCCCCUCCCACACAAUGCAGGAAGUAUGUCAUCUAAUAAGCCCAGUUUCUAAAGAAUGUUUUUAAUCUUGGAAUAGUGAGUGUGAUUUUUGAUUGUAUUUUUAAUUCUCUAUCUACUUUUUUAAAAGCACACGCUUUUGUUCUAAUUCUCAUCUUAGCUCAUCAGGGCCAGGAGGAAGCGUGGACAUCUUCCAUUCCAUGGAUCUGCUUAGCAUUUGACAGUGUGGCCCAGGGAAGCCAAAAGAUUGGACACCCCUGUUCUAGAUGAACCUGAGUACACAUUCCUCAUGACCAUGCUGACCAUGAGCUCCACCUCAGGAGGAGCUACACCUUCAUCACCAUCACAGGCAACCUGUGGGCUGGCAUGAUGGUGCCCUGCGUCUGCAGCAGCGGGGCCCCUCGUCCCCUCCAUCACUGCAUAAAACCCUCCUGUCACUUUCCCUCAGGGAGACACUGCUUUGGAGAAUCCUCCCAGGGCUCUUCUUACCUGUGGCGAGUCAUAAAACUCCUACUGAUCCAAACCUGCGUUCUCGUGGAGAGCCGUUUGAGAUUCACCAGAGCAGCAGGGGAGUCGUGACCCCCAGGGGCUCAGUAGAGCAUGAGCCUGGCCAUUGCCAAGCGGCCCGCCCAUGCGUGCUGUGGUUACACGGUCUUCAUGCUGGCUGGGGAGCCCCGAGAACUCGGGUUUGGUUCGUCCUCCAAACACGUGAACACGUGUUGAGCACUGACUGUGAAUUCGGCAGCUGUGAUGGGGGCUGAACUCAGGGCCAAGGAGCCAGGCUCCACUCCACUGUGACACCAGGUGUGGGGCUCGGUGCAGAGCCACACUUUGAACCUGAGAGAGUGGCUGAGCUGGAUGAUUCUCAAAGUGCGCUCUGCGGACCAGCAGCAGCACCACCAGCAGCAGCAUCACCCGGGAACUCAAAGGAAAUGCAGGUUCUCUGGCCUCUGCCGAAUGCACUGAAUCAGAAUCUGCAUUUUAACAAGAUCCCCAGGGUUGAAACCCAGGUUCCAGGCUGUGAGGAAGUCCAGGACACACUGAGAGGUCAUGUGUAGGUGUUCAGGCCAACAGCACAGCCAGGGGCUCAGCUGACAGCCAGCAUCAAUGACCAGAUGUAUGGGUGAGGAGGUCUUCGGAUGACUCCAGGCCAACUCCUAUCUGACUACAGCUACAACUGCACAAAAGAGCCCGAACGAGAAACACUGGCUGAGCCCAGUCAACCCUGGAACCAGAAGAGAUGAUAAUGCCAUCCAGCCCUGAGAUUUGUUUGGAGGGUGACGCGGCCAAGGAUGACACCCACUGCCCCAGAGGCUGGGGGACUGGCAGAUGGAGUCUCACUCUGUCACCCAGGCUGGAG